RNAcentral lists this ribosomal RNA (253 nucleotides) under uncultured bacterium. RNAcentral describes it as "partial 16S ribosomal RNA". It matches the Rfam family "Bacterial small subunit ribosomal RNA", at positions 524 to 776 of the family's 1533-position model. The record is from RNAcentral.
UACGAAGGGGGCUAGCGUUGCUCGGAAUCACUGGGCGUAAAGCGCACGUAGGCGGGUCGUUAAGUCAGGGGUGAAAUCCUGGAGCUCAACUCCAGAACUGCCCUUGAUACUGGCGGUCUCGAGUCCGGGAGAGGUGAGUGGAACUGCGAGUGUAGAGGUGAAAUUCGUAGAUAUUCGCAAGAACACCAGUGGCGAAGGCGGCUCACUGGCCCGGUACUGACGCUGAGGUGCGAAAGCGUGGGGAGCAAACAGG